RNAcentral lists this ribosomal RNA (959 nucleotides) under uncultured bacterium. RNAcentral's name for it is "bacterial SSU rRNA". It matches the Rfam family "Bacterial small subunit ribosomal RNA", at positions 28 to 997 of the family's 1533-position model. The record is from RNAcentral.
AAUGAACGUUGGCGGCGUGGAUUAGGCAUGCAAGUCGUGCGGAAAGGCCCUUCGGGGUACUCGAGCGGCGAAAGGGAGAGUAACGCGUGGAUCAUCUACCUUCAGGACCGGGAUAGCCGGGGGAAACCCCGGGUAAUACCGGAUGAUGUCUCCGGACCAAAGGUGUAAGUCCGCCUGGAGAUGAGUUCGCGUCCUACUAGCUUGUUGGUGAGGUAACGGCUCACCAAGGCUGAGAUGGGUACGGGGUGUGAGAGCACGACCCCGCUCACUGGGACUGAGACACUGCCCAGACACCUUCGGGUGGCUGCAGUCGAGAAUCUUCGGCAAUGGGCGCAAGCCUGACCGAGCGACGCCGCGUGUGGGAUGAAGGCCUUCGGGUUGUAAACCACUGUCGGAGGGGAGGAAAUCCUAGGGGGAUCACCCCUUAGGUUGACCUAUCCUCAAAGGAAGGACGGGCUAAGUUCGUGCCAGCAGCCGCGGUAAGACGAACCGUCCGAACGUUAUUCGGAAUUACUGGGCUUAAAGGGUGCGUAGGCGGCCCUGUAAGUUGGGUGUGAAAUCCCUCGGCUCAACCGAGGAACUGCGCCCAAAACUACAGGGCUCGAGGGAGACAGAGGUGAGCGGAACUUGCGGUGGAGCGGUGAAAUGCGUUGAUAUCGCAAGGAACACCAGUGGCGAAAGCGGCUCACUGGGUCUCUUCUGACGCUGAGGCACGAAAGCUAGGGGAGCGAACGGGAUUAGAUACCCCGGUAGUCCUAGCCGUAAACGCUGAGCACUAGAUCGGAGGGUCCUCCAUAGCUUUCCGGUCGUAGCGAAAGUGUUAAGUGCUCCGCCUGGGGAGUAUGGUCGCAAGGCUGAAACUCAAAGGAAUUGACGGGGGCUCACACAAGCGGUGGAGGAUGUGGCUUAAUUCGAGGCUACGCGAAGAACCUUAUCCUGGGUUUGACAUGUUCGGAUAA